This 1218-nucleotide ribosomal RNA is filed under the name metagenome. Its description in RNAcentral is "SSU rRNA". It matches the Rfam family "Eukaryotic small subunit ribosomal RNA", at positions 1 to 1246 of the family's 1831-position model. The record is from RNAcentral.
UCUGGUUGAUCCUGCCAGUAGUCAUAUGCUUGUCUCAAAGACUAAGCCAUGCAUGUCUAAGUAUAAGUGUUAUACAGUGAAACUGCGAAUGGCUCAUUAAAACAGUUAUAGUUUCUUUGAUAAUCGAAUUUACAUGGAUAACCGUGGUAAUUCUAGAGCUAAUACAUGCUGGUUUGCCUGACUUCUUGAAGGGCUGUAUUUAUUAGAUAACGAACCAAUAUUCCUUGUGUCUAUUGUGGUGACUCAUAGUAACUGAUCGAAUCGCAUGGACUUUGUCCGCGAUAAAUCAUUCAAGUUUCUGCCCCAUCAGCUUUCGAUGGUAGUGUAUUGGACUACCAUGGCUUUCACGGGUAACGGAGGAUUAGGGUUCGAUUCCGGAGAGGGAGCCUGAGAAACGGCUACCACAUCUACGGAAGGCAGCAGGCGCGUAAAUUACCCAAUCCUGACUCAGGGAGGUAGUGACAAGAAAUAACGGACCGAAGCAUCUUGUUUCGGGAUUGCAAUGGGUACAAUUUAAACCCCUUAACGAGGAUCAAUUGGAGGGCAAGUCUGGUGCCAGCAGCCGCGGUAAUUCCAGCUCCAAUAGCGUAUAUUAAAGUUGUUGCAGUUAAAAAGCUCGUAGUUGGACUUCUGGGAGGGCGCCGAUGUCCGCUGUUGCGUGUGCUGACGCACCCUUCCAUCCUUCUGUUAACGUUUCUUGGUAUUCAGUUACUGGUUUCGGGCUCAGAUAUUUUACCUUGAGAAAAUUAGAGUGUUUCAGGCAGGCUUGCGCCGGAAUACAUUAGCAUGGAAUAAUAGAAUAGGACUUUAGUCUCUCUUGUUGGUUUGGGGACUGAAGUAAUGAUUAAUAGGGAUAGUUGGGGGCAUUAGUAUUUAAUUGUCAGAGGUAAAAUUCUCGGAUUUGUUAAAGACUAACUUAUGCGAAAGCAUUUGCCAAGGAUGUUUUCGUUAAUCAAGAACGAAAGUUAGGGGAUCAAAGACGAUCAGAUACCGUCCUAGUCUUAACCAUAAACUAUGCCGACUAGGGAUCGGAGGCGUGACUUAUCCGCCUUCGGCACCUUAUGAGAAAUCAAAGUCUUUGGGUUCUGGGGGGAGUAUGGUCGCAAGGCUGAAACUUAAAGGAAUUGACGGAAGGGCACCACCAGGCGUGGAGCUUGCGGCUCAAUUUGACCCAGCACGGGAAAACUUACCAGGUCCAGACAUAGUGAGGACUGACAG